Molecule: long non-coding RNA, 334 nt
Filed under: Lathyrus oleraceus (garden pea)
Lineage: Eukaryota; Viridiplantae; Streptophyta; Magnoliopsida; Fabales; Fabaceae
Description: Pisum sativum (pea) long non-coding RNA (PSAT_LNC026174)
Source: RNAcentral
AAACGACAAUAGCAAACGCAUUCACUAAAGACAAACAUGAUUAAAAUCAUACAAUGGGGAAGAGUACUUAUAAGUGUUAUUACUCUUCGUUGGGCAUACAUUAGAAAAAAACAAAAAAAAACUUCUAGAAAUUUAAAACUUGCGACAUGUCUUUUUCACAUGUUAUCAUUGAGGAAAAUAUCUUGCAUGUCAUUCAUGGUGUUAUUGAAAUCAUUAUUUUGUCGGGUCCAUUCUUCUCUCAUGUUCUCUCUUCUUGUUUCUUGCUCUUGAUCUUGAUUUCUAAAAUAAUUCUCCAUUUCUUCGGCACUUGCAAAGCAUGCUCUUAAACUUUGGG